Molecule: ribosomal RNA, 129 nt
Filed under: uncultured bacterium
Lineage: Bacteria
Description: partial 16S ribosomal RNA
Source: RNAcentral
AGGCAGCAGAAGGAAAGGCAAGGGCGCAAGCCGAACCAGCCACGCCGCGGAAGGAAGACGGCCCACGGGGAAUCCCAGGGAAAAACCCAGGACGGCCGAGCGAAGGACCGAGGAAAAGCACGGCAACCC